RNAcentral lists this ribosomal RNA (499 nucleotides) under uncultured bacterium. RNAcentral's name for it is "partial 16S ribosomal RNA". It matches the Rfam family "Bacterial small subunit ribosomal RNA", at positions 28 to 507 of the family's 1533-position model. The record is from RNAcentral.
GACGAACGCUGGCGGCGUGCCUAAUACAUGCAAGUCGAGCGGACCGAACAGGAGCUUGCUCUUGUUCGGUUAGCGGCGGACGGGUGAGUAACACGUGGGUAACCUGCCCGUAAGACCGGGAUAACUCCGGGAAACCGGAGCUAAUACCGGAUAACACCGAAGACCGCAUGGUCUUUGGUUGAAAGGCGGCUUCGGCUGCCACUUACGGAUGGGCCCGCGGCGCAUUAGCUAGUUGGUGAGGUAACGUCUCACCAAGGCGACGAUGCGUAGCCGGCCUGAGAGGGUGACCGGCCCCCCUGGGACUGAGACACGGCCCAGACUCCUACGGGAGGCAGCAGUAGGGAAUCUUCCGCAAUGGACGAAAGUCUGACGGAGCGACGCCGCGUGAGCGAAGAAGGUCUUCGGAUCGUAAAGCUCUGUUGUUAGGGAAGAAGAAGCGUCGUUCGAACAGGGCGGCGCGGUGACGGUACCUAACGAGAAAGCCCCGGCUAACUACGUG